This 301-nucleotide long non-coding RNA is filed under the name Homo sapiens (human). Its description in RNAcentral is "non-protein coding lnc-PSG9-3:1". The record is from RNAcentral. Lineage: Eukaryota; Metazoa; Chordata; Mammalia; Primates; Hominidae.
AAGAGAAGCAGGCAGCAGAGACCAUGAGGCCCCCCUCAGCCCCUCCCCGCAGAGGAUGCAUCCCCUGGCAGGGGCUCCUGCUCACAGGCUCAUGGGCAAAAGGGACUUGCCUUGUCUCAGAAGAGACUUGGGACUUUGGACUUUACUGGUAAUGCUGGAAAGAGGUAAUGGACUGUUGGAAAACCAUUGUUACAUUUUGAAAUGUGAGAAAUGUCAGGCCUCUGAGCCCAAGCCAAGCCAUCGCAUCCCCUGUGACUUGCAUGUAUAUGCCCAGAUGGCCUGAAGUAACUGAAGAAUCACA